This 429-nucleotide ribosomal RNA is filed under the name Chloroflexota bacterium. Its description in RNAcentral is "Chloroflexi bacterium partial 16S ribosomal RNA". It matches the Rfam family "Bacterial small subunit ribosomal RNA", at positions 355 to 776 of the family's 1533-position model. The record is from RNAcentral. Lineage: Bacteria; Bacillati; Chloroflexota.
UGGGGAAUAUUGCACAAUGGGCGCAAGCCUGAUGCAGCCAUGCCGCGUGUAUGAAGAAGGCCUUCGGGUUGUAAAGUACUUUCAGCGGGGAGGAAGGGAGUAAAGUUAAUACCUUUGCCCAUUGACGUUACCCGCCGAAGAAGCACCGGCUAACUCCGUGCCAGCAGCCGCCGUAAUACGGUGGGUGCAAGCGUUAAUCGGAACUACUGGGCGUAAAGCGGACGCAGGCGGUUUGUUAAGUCAGAUGUGAAAUCCCCGGGCUCAACCUGGGAACUGCAUCUGAUACUGGCAAGCUUGAGUCUCGUAGAGGGGGGUAGAAUUCCAGGUGGAGCGGUGAAAUGCGUAGAGAUCUGGAGGAAUACCGGUGGCGAAGGCGGCCCCCUGGACGAAGACUGAAGCUCAGGUGCGAAAGCGUGGGGAGCAAACAGG